CCCCUUCGAAAUUCAACACAGGAUAUGCUUAAGAAAUCGUUUCCUUUUUAAGGUCAUAAGUAUUUUCUCCUGCAAUUAUUUUUUUUCUGAAAAUUUUAGAGGUGGUUCAUUAAUCCAUCUGGGUUUGAAUUUUGUAUAUGAUGUGAUGUAGGAAGCCAGGUAGUAGAAUUAAAAGCCAUAAAUUAAAAGCCUUUCCUUGGAAAGGAAAAAUCAGAGCUGUCAGUAUAUUCAGGAGACUCAAGCGAACUAAUUGGAAAAUUAUUAGAAUGCACGAGAGUUUAGGAGAGUGCCUAGAUUCCAAAUAAAUACACUAAAUAAAUUGAUUUUUUGUGUACCAGCUAUAACUAAUUAGUAAAUAUUCAAGUUCACAGCACAAAAAAGCAUAAAGUACCUAAAAGUAAUCUCACCAAGAAGAGUGUAGAAACCAAUGAAGAGUUGGAGAGAUUUGGGCCAUGCUCUAUUGAAAAAGCACAAGGCUGUAAAAAACUGGUCCUUCCCAAAUGAAUUUGUAGGUUUAACUCAAUCCUAAUAAAAAUUCCAGUUGGGUAUUUUAAGGGAACUUUAUAUUAUUGUGCUAAAAGAGUCUCAAAAAAUAAGGAGGAGAGAUAGCUAAGAUAAUGUUGAAAAAGAACAAUGUUAAUAGACUUGUGUCUCCAAAUAUUAAAAUCUGUUAUAAAACUCAUGCUUGUCCCAGAACUGGUGUUCAGAUGGCUGGAAUAGAAUGGAGAGCCCUCUUUAGUGUUAAGAACUCUUUAGUUAAGUAGCCCUUUAGUAUUAAAAAAAAAAAAAAAAAAAUAGUGUACUAUCAAGGAGUCAUCAAAAAUUUGGCUUAAUUUAUUCAA
Leopardus geoffroyi (Geoffroy's cat) is the source of this 842-nucleotide long non-coding RNA. RefSeq lists it as uncharacterized. NCBI's taxonomy places the organism in Eukaryota, Metazoa, Chordata, Mammalia, Carnivora, Felidae. The transcript has 2 exons. The record is from RefSeq and is a predicted model, not a curated record.